RNAcentral lists this ribosomal RNA (450 nucleotides) under uncultured bacterium. RNAcentral's name for it is "bacterial SSU rRNA". It matches the Rfam family "Bacterial small subunit ribosomal RNA", at positions 30 to 477 of the family's 1533-position model. The record is from RNAcentral.
AUUGAACGCUGGCGGCAGGCUUAACACAUGCAAGUCGAGCGGGGGAGGUUACUUCGGUAACUGACCUAGCGGCGGACGGGUGAGUAAUGCUUAGGAAUCUGCCUAUUAGUGGGGGACAACAUUCCGAAAGGAAUGCUAAUACCGCAUACGCCCUACGGGGGAAAGCAGGGGAUCUUCGGACCUUGCGCUAAUAGAUGAGCCUAAGUCGGAUUAGCUAGUUGGUGGGGUAAAGGCCUACCAAGGCGACGAUCUGUAGCGGGUCUGAGAGGAUGAUCCGCCACACUGGGACUGAGACACGGCCCAGACUCCUACGGGAGGCAGCAGUGGGGAAUAUUGGACAAUGGGCGGAAGCCUGAUCCAGCCAUGCCGCGUGUGUGAAGAAGGCCUUUUGGUUGUAAAGCACUUUAAGCGAGGAGGAGGCUCCUUUAGUUAAUACCUAAAGUGAGUGGA